RNAcentral lists this ribosomal RNA (168 nucleotides) under uncultured Hyphomicrobium sp. Its description in RNAcentral is "partial 16S ribosomal RNA". It matches the Rfam family "Bacterial small subunit ribosomal RNA", at positions 338 to 523 of the family's 1533-position model. Lineage: Bacteria; Pseudomonadati; Pseudomonadota; Alphaproteobacteria; Hyphomicrobiales; Hyphomicrobiaceae. The record is from RNAcentral.
CCUACGGGAGGCAGCAGUGGGGAAUCUUGGACAAUGGGCGAAAGCCUGAUCCAGCCAUGCCGCGUGAGUGACGAAGGUCUUCGGAUUGUAAAGCUCUUUUGGCGGGGAAGAUAAUGACGGUACCCGCAGAAUAAGCCCCGGCUAACUUCGUGCCAGCAGCCGCGGUAA